GACAGAGGAUGCAAGCGUUAUCCGGAAUGAUUGGGCGUAAAGCGUCUGUAGGUGGCUUUUUAAGUCUGCCGUCAAAUCCCAGGGCUUAACCCUGGACAGGCGGUGGAAACUACCAAGCUGGAGUACGGUAGGGGCAGGGGGAAUUUCCGGUGGAGCGGUGAAAUGCGUAGGGAUCGGAAAGAACACCAACGGCGAAAGCACUCUGCUGGGCCGACACUGACACUGAGAGACGAAAGCUAGGGGAGCGAAUGGG
Molecule: ribosomal RNA, 253 nt
Filed under: uncultured bacterium
Lineage: Bacteria
Description: partial 16S ribosomal RNA
Rfam family: Bacterial small subunit ribosomal RNA
Source: RNAcentral